RNAcentral lists this ribosomal RNA (449 nucleotides) under uncultured bacterium. RNAcentral's name for it is "partial 16S ribosomal RNA". It matches the Rfam family "Bacterial small subunit ribosomal RNA", at positions 29 to 523 of the family's 1533-position model. The record is from RNAcentral.
AACGAACGCAGGCGGCAUGCCUAACACAUGCAAGUCGAACGAGAUCUUCGGGUCUAGUGGCGCACGGGUGCGUAACGCGUGGGAAUCUGCCCUUUGGUUCGGAAUAACAGUUGGACACGACUGCUAAUACCGGAUGAUGACGAAAGUCCAAAGAUUUAUCGCCAGAGGAUGAGCCCGCGUAGGAUUACCUCGUUGGUGUGGUAAAGGCGCACCAAGGCGACGAUCCUUAGCUGGUCGGAGAGGAUGAUCAGCCACACUGGGACGGAGACACGGCCCAGAAUCCUACGGGAGGCAGCAGUGGUGAAUAUUGGACAAUGGGCGAAAGCCUGAUCCAGCAAUGCCGCGUGAGUGAUGAAGGCCUUAGGGUUGUAAAGCUCUUUUACCCGUGAUGAUAAUGACAGUACCGGGAGAAUAAGCUCCGGCUAACUCCGUGCCAGCCGCCGCCGUAA